AUACGUAGGGUGCAAGCGUUAAUCGGAAUUACUGGGCGUAAAGCGUGCGCAGGCGGUUUUGUAAGACAGUGGUGAAAUCCCCGGGCUCAACCUGGGAACUGCCAUUGUGACUGCAAGGCUGGAGUGCGGCAGAGGGGGAUGGAAUUCCGCGUGUAGCAGUGAAAUGCGUAGAUAUGCGGAGGAACACCGAUGGCGAAGGCAAUCCCCUGGGCCUGCACUGACGCUCAUGCGCGAAAGCGUGGGGAGCAAACAGGAUUAGAUACCCUGGUAGUGCGUGCCCUAAACGAUGUCAUCUGGUUGUUGGGGAUGUGUUUCUCAGUAACGAAGCUAACGCGUGAAGUGGACCGCCUGGGGAGUACGGCCGCAAGGUUAAAACUCAAAGGAAGUGACGGGG
This 394-nucleotide ribosomal RNA is filed under the name uncultured bacterium. RNAcentral describes it as "partial 16S ribosomal RNA". It matches the Rfam family "Bacterial small subunit ribosomal RNA", at positions 523 to 918 of the family's 1533-position model. The record is from RNAcentral.